GCUUUUGAAGGAUAGCAGUCAUCCGUUGGUCUUAGGAACCAAAAACUCUUGGUGCAAAUCCAAGCAAUAGCU
RNAcentral lists this transfer RNA (72 nucleotides) under Thryssa kammalensis (Kammal thryssa). RNAcentral's name for it is "tRNA-Leu". It matches the Rfam family "tRNA". Rfam says of the family: Transfer RNA (tRNA) molecules are approximately 80 nucleotides in length. Their secondary structure includes four short double-helical elements and three loops (D, anti-codon, and T loops). Lineage: Eukaryota; Metazoa; Chordata; Actinopteri; Clupeiformes; Engraulidae. The record is from RNAcentral.